RNAcentral lists this ribosomal RNA (230 nucleotides) under uncultured bacterium. RNAcentral describes it as "partial 16S ribosomal RNA". It matches the Rfam family "Bacterial small subunit ribosomal RNA", at positions 99 to 334 of the family's 1533-position model. The record is from RNAcentral.
CGGGCGGGUGAGUAAUGUCUGGGAAACUGCCUGAUGGAGGGGGAUAACUACUGGAAACGGUAGCUAAUACCGCAUAACGUCGCAAGACCAAAGAGGGGGACCUUGGGCCUCUUGCCAUCGGAUGUGCCCAGAUGGGAUUAGCUGUUGGUGGGGUAAAGGCUCACCUAGGCGACGAUCCCUAGCUGGUCUGAGAGGAUGACCAGCCACACUGGAACUGAGACACGGUCCAG